Molecule: ribosomal RNA, 447 nt
Filed under: uncultured bacterium
Lineage: Bacteria
Description: bacterial SSU rRNA
Rfam family: Bacterial small subunit ribosomal RNA
Source: RNAcentral
UCGGGAAUUUUGGGCAAUGGGCGAAAGCCUGACCCAGCAACGCCGCGUGAAGGAUGAAGUAUUUCGGUAUGUAAACUUCGAAAGAAUAGGAAGAAUAAAUGACGGUACUAUUUAUAAGGUCCGGCUAACUACGUGCCAGCAGCCGCGGUAAUACGUAGGGACCAAGCGUUGUUCGGAUUUACUGGGCGUAAAGGGCGCGUAGGCGGCAUGACAAGUCACUUGUGAAAUCUCUGGGCUUAACCCAGAACGGCCAAGUGAUACUGUCGCGCUAGAGUGCAGAAGGGGCAAUCGGAAUUCUUGGUGUAGCGGUGAAAUGCGUAGAUAUCAAGAGGAACACCGAUGGCGAAGGCAGCCCCCUGGGAUAACACUGACGCUCAUGCACGAAAGCGUGGGGAGCAAACAGGAUUAGAUACCCAUGUAGUCCCUGAGCGGGCUGGCAAGGCGCAU